This 501-nucleotide ribosomal RNA is filed under the name uncultured bacterium. RNAcentral's name for it is "bacterial SSU rRNA". It matches the Rfam family "Bacterial small subunit ribosomal RNA", at positions 1007 to 1509 of the family's 1533-position model. The record is from RNAcentral.
GCUUUUGGUGCCUUCGGGAACUCUGAGACAGGUGCUGCAUGGCUGUCGUCAGCUCGUGUUGUGAAAUGUUGGGUUAAGUCCCGCAACGAGCGCAACCCUUAUCCUUUGUUGCCAGCGGUCCGGCCGGGAACUCAAAGGAGACUGCCAGUGAUAAACUGGAGGAAGUGGGGAUGACGUCAAGUCAUCAUGGCCCUUACGAGUAGGGCUACACACGUGCUACGAUGGCGCAUACAAAGAGAAGCGACCUCGCGAGAGCAAGCGGACCUCAUAAAGUGCGUCGUAGUCCGGAUUGGAGUCUGCAACUCGACUCCAUGAAGUCGGAAUCGCUAGUAAUCGUGGAUCAGAAUGCCACGGUGAAUACGUUCCCGGGCCUUGUACACACCGCCCGUCACACCAUGGGAGUGGGUUGCAAAAGAAGUAGGUAGCUUAACCUUCGGGAGGGCGCUUACCACUUUGUGAUUCAUGACUGGGGUGAAGUCGUAACAAGGUAAGCGUAGUGCU